GACGAACGCUGGCGGCGUGCUUAACACAUGCAAGUCGAACGGAAAGGCCCUGCUUUUGUGGGGUGCUCGAGUGGCGAACGGGUGAGUAACACGUGAGUAACCUGCCCUUGACUUUGGGAUAACUUCAGGAAACUGGGGCUAAUACCGGAUAGGAGCUCCUGCUGCAUGGUGGGGGUUGGAAAGUUUCGGCGGUUGGGGAUGGACUCGCGGCUUAUCAGCUUGUUGGUGGGGUAGUGGCUUACCAAGGCUUUGACGGGUAGCCGGCCUGAGAGGGUGACCGGGCACCAUGGGACUGAGAGACGGACCAGACUCCUACGGGAGGCAGCAGUGGGGAAUAUUGCACAAUGGGCGGAAGCGUGAUGCAGCAGCGCCGCGUGCGGGAUGACGGCCUUCGGGGUGUAAACCGCUUUCGCCUGUGACGAAGCGUGAGUGACGGUAAUGGGUAAAGAAGCACCGGCUAACUACGUG
RNAcentral lists this ribosomal RNA (468 nucleotides) under uncultured bacterium. RNAcentral's name for it is "partial 16S ribosomal RNA". It matches the Rfam family "Bacterial small subunit ribosomal RNA", at positions 28 to 507 of the family's 1533-position model. The record is from RNAcentral.